UGGGGGAUAUUGCACAAUGGGCGAAAGCCUGAUGCAGCAACGCCGCGUGAGGGAAGACGGUCUUCGGAUUGUAAACCUUUAGCUUUGGGGAAGAAACAAAUGACGGUACCCAAAGGGGCAGCCACGGCUAACUACGUGCCAGCAGCCGCGGUAAUACGUAGGUGGCAAGCGUUGUACGGAAUUACUGGGUGUAAAGGGCGCGCAGGCGGGGAGACAAGUCAGCUGUGAAAACUAUGGGCUUAACCCAGAGAUUGCAGUUGAAACUGUUUGGCUUGAGUGGAGUAGAGGUAGGCGGAAUUCCGAGUGUAGCGGUGAAAUGCGUAGAUAUUCGGAGGAACACCAGUGGCGAAGGCGGCCUACUGGGCUCUAACUGACGCUGAGGCUCGAAAGUGUGGGGAGCAAACA
This 405-nucleotide ribosomal RNA is filed under the name uncultured prokaryote. RNAcentral's name for it is "bacterial SSU rRNA". It matches the Rfam family "Bacterial small subunit ribosomal RNA", at positions 355 to 774 of the family's 1533-position model. The record is from RNAcentral.